This 67-nucleotide transfer RNA is filed under the name Trapezia rufopunctata. Its description in RNAcentral is "tRNA-Ile". The record is from RNAcentral. Lineage: Eukaryota; Metazoa; Arthropoda; Malacostraca; Decapoda; Trapeziidae.
UAUAUAGUGCCUGAUUUAAAAGGAUAGCUUUGAUAGAGCUAAUCAUGUGUUUUUUUCACCUAUAUAA